CCUACGGGUGGCAGCAGUGAGGAAUAUUGGUCAAUGGGCGCGAGCCUGAACCAGCCAAGUCGCGUGAGGGAGGACGGCCCUACGGGUUGUAAACCUCUUUUGCCGGGGAGCAACGGGCGCCACGUGUGGCGUCACUGAGAGUACCCGGAGAAAAAGCAUCGGCUAACUCCGUGCCAGCAGCCGCGGUAAUACGGAGGAUGCGAGCGUUAUCCGGAUUUAUUGGGUUUAAAGGGUGCGCAGGCGGAGGUGCAAGUCAGCGGUCAAAUUGCGGGGCUCAACCCCGUACUGCCGUUGAAACUGCAUCCCUUGAGUGCGCGAGAAGUAUGCGGAAUGCGUGGUGUAGCGGUGAAAUGCAUAGAUAUCACGCAGAACUCCGAUUGCGAAGGCAGUUCACUGGACUGCAACUGACACUGAGGCUCGAAAGUGUGGGUAUCAAACAGGAUUAGAUACCCGUGUAGUC
This 460-nucleotide ribosomal RNA is filed under the name uncultured bacterium. RNAcentral describes it as "partial 16S ribosomal RNA". It matches the Rfam family "Bacterial small subunit ribosomal RNA", at positions 338 to 795 of the family's 1533-position model. The record is from RNAcentral.